Fukomys damarensis (Damara mole-rat) is the source of this 635-nucleotide long non-coding RNA. RefSeq lists it as uncharacterized. The record is from RefSeq and is a predicted model, not a curated record. The transcript is spliced from 5 exons. NCBI's taxonomy places the organism in Eukaryota, Metazoa, Chordata, Mammalia, Rodentia, Bathyergidae.
CUUGCGAAGCAGGCGGCAAAACUGAGCUAAAUCCCGUCACCGGAGUUCAAAUCUAACCUACAGCCUGCAGGGGGCAGGAGCCAGCCAAAAAACUCUUCAAGCACAGUGCUCCUGUGGCUACAGCAAGUUAGGUACAUGUGAUAAAUCAGGAGCUCUUCACACUUAAUUGAAGAUGCAGCUUUCUAAAACAGAUCGCCAGCAGCCGCGGCUCCCUGAGAAAGAAAGAAAGAGACAAAAUCAUCUUUCCCCUGAGAAUUGGCUUUUUAAUGAAAAGGACAGAAAAGAACGAAUAUGCCCAAUGCCGAGACUGGAUUGUGCGGGACCCCGGGCUAUUCAGAUCUAGGAGAUGGCGUGCCAAAGCUGGCUGGGGAAAGGAGCCCGACCUGUCAGUCACCAUACCCCGGGUGACUCGAGAACACGCAUGAAGUUCCCACCAGCUCCCGAGCAGUGCGGACUGCGGGAAAAGGACUGGCUAUCACCGAAAGCCUAUCGUGCACUACCCGGAUGAGGGCGGGGCCGAGCCAGUCACUCACCCAGCAUCACUCACUGCGGAUUCAGCCACCUCUGACAAAGGGAGUGCCCUGUCAUCAGCAUGAGGCUUUGGUGGGGCAUCCAAACACGAGCCAACCACAGUC